AGGUUGAUAUUCCUGUACCACCUCCUCACCAUUUGAGCAAUGGGGGGACGCAGGAGGAUAGGGUAAGCGCGGUAUUGGAUAUCCGCGUCCAAGCAGUUAGGCUGGGAAAUAGGCAAAUCCGUUUCCCAUAAGGCUGAGCUGUGAUGGCGAGCGAAAUAUAGUAGCGAAGUUCCUGAUCCCACACUGCCAAGAAAAGCCUCUAGCGAGGUGAGAGGUGCCCGUACCGCAAACCGACACAGGUAGGCGAGGAGAGAAUCCUAAGGUGAUCGAGAGAACUCUCGUUAAGGAACUCGGCAAAAUGACCCCGUAACUUCGGGAGAAGGGGUGCUCUGUUAGGGUGCAAGCCCGAGAGAGCCGCAGUGAAUAGGCCCAGGCGACUGUUUAGCAAAAACACAGGUCUCUGCGAAGCCGUAAGGCGAAGUAUAGGGGCUGACGCCUGCCCGGUGCUGGAAGGUUAAGAGGAGCGCUUAGCGUAAGCGAAGGUGCGAAUUGAAGCCCCAGUAAACGGCGGCCGUAACAAUAACGGUCCUAAGGUAGCGAAAUUCCUUGUCGGGUAAGUUCCGACCCGCACGAAAGGCGCAACGAUCUGGGCACUGUCUCAACGAGAGACUCGGUGAAAUUAUAGUACCUGUGAAGAUGCAGGUUACCCGCGACAGGACGGGAAGACCCCGUGGAGCUUUACUGCAGCCUGAUAUUGAAUGUUGGUACAGCUUGUACAGGAUAGGUAGGAGCCUUGGAAACCGGAGCGCCAGCUUUGGUGGAGGCAUCGGUGGGAUACUACCCUGGCUGUAUUGACCUUCUAACCCGCCGCCCUUAUCGGGCGGGGAGACAGUGUCAGGUGGGCAGUUUGACUGGGGCGGUCGCCUCCUAAAAGGUAACGGAGGCGCCCAAAGGUACCCUCAGAAUGGUUGGAAAUCAUUCGCAGAGUGUAAAGGCACAAGGGAGCUUGACUGCGAGACCUACAAGUCGAGCAGGGACGAAAGUCGGGCUUAGUGAUCCGGUGGUUCCGCAUGGAAGGGCCAUCGCUCAACGGAUAAAAGCUACCCCGGGGAUAACAGGCUUAUCUCCCCCAAGAGUCCACAUCGACGGGGAGGUUUGGCACCUCGAUGUCGGCUCAUCGCAUCCUGGGGCUGUAGUCGGUCCCAAGGGUUGGGCUGUUCGCCCAUUAAAGCGGUACGCGAGCUGGGUUCAGAACGUCGUGAGACAGUUCGGUCCCUAUCCGUCGCGGGCGCAGGAAAUUUGAGAGGAGCUGUCCUUAGUACGAGAGGACCGGGAUGGACGCACCGCUGGUGUACCAGUUGUUCUGCCAAGGGCAUCGCUGGGUAGCUAUGUGCGGACGGGAUAAGUGCUGAAAGCAUCUAAGCAUGAAGCCCCCCUCAAGAUGAGAUUUCCCAUUCCGCAAGGAAGUAAGAUCCCUGAAAGAUGAUCAGGUUGAUAGGUCUGAGGUGGAAGUGUGGCGACACAUGAAGCUGACAGAUACUAAUCGAUCGAGGACUUAAUC
RNAcentral lists this ribosomal RNA (1501 nucleotides) under metagenome. RNAcentral describes it as "bacterial LSU rRNA". It matches the Rfam family "Bacterial large subunit ribosomal RNA", at positions 1427 to 2925 of the family's 2925-position model. The record is from RNAcentral.